AGAGUUUGAUCCUGGCUCAGAACGAACGUUGGCGGCGUGGAUUAGGCAUGCAAGUCGAACGAAUCCCAAGGGUGUAGCAAUACAUCCGAGGGGGAAGUGGCGAAAGGGGCAGUAAGGCGUGGGUAACCUACCCCGGGGACCGGGAUAGCUCUUCUAACGAGGAGGUAAUACCGGGCGAUCUGGCUCAGGGGCAUCUCUGG
This 200-nucleotide ribosomal RNA is filed under the name uncultured bacterium. Its description in RNAcentral is "partial 16S ribosomal RNA". It matches the Rfam family "Bacterial small subunit ribosomal RNA", at positions 8 to 197 of the family's 1533-position model. The record is from RNAcentral.